RNAcentral lists this long non-coding RNA (3933 nucleotides) under Anthonomus grandis grandis. RNAcentral describes it as "uncharacterized LOC126748313". Lineage: Eukaryota; Metazoa; Arthropoda; Insecta; Coleoptera; Curculionidae. The record is from RNAcentral.
CCUAGUCGCUUUCCUUCUGAUUGCCGGUGGUUGAGUGCCUCCACAUUUUCAUAACCCGAUUUUGGAGGCUCACCACAUUUCCACAGGACUGUUAUUUUGUUCCUUCGGGUGUACCAUUACAGCCCUGUAGAGAACCGCCUUGUGGGAUUUAUUAGGCAACUAUAUUAGAGAGUUCAAUAUUUUCUAAAUGAGUUGACUGCGAAGACGAAUUAUUGGUGUUCGCGUCGCGAAGUGACCUUGCUAGUUCUUCAGGAUCUUCUAGAACGGUUUGAAGAUAAUUUGUAUUACUUUAUGGAGGAUUUAUUACUGUUGGCGGGCAACAUUUUCAGCAUUUGCUUGAUUAAUGCAUUUGAACUUAAGUGACAGGAUCCACUCGGCAAGAGACCCAAAUUGUCCAGCUUUUUGCAAAAAUUAAACAAAAUGCGACAACAAGUAAACUAUUCAAGUGACAAUCAACAUUUUUUGGACCAAAAAUAGGCUCAACUAAAACUAUCUCAGGUAAAACAAUAAAUAUUAAAGGAUCAGCUAUUAUACACCAAAAUGUUCAAUCAAUUGGAAAUUCUCUGGAUAGAUUAAACCACCUAAUUGAGGAAAACCCCGAUUGCAAAUUCAUCUGUAUAACAGAACAUUGGAAGAGAAGGGAUUAGCUUCAAAUUUUCCAGAUUAGAAACUUUCAUAUAGCUUCUUCCUUCUGCCGAGAGAAGGGAUAUGGUGGAGUAGCAGUGUAUGUGGAAAAAACAUGUACUCUCAAAGGUUCUAUAAACUACAAACAGGUUGGCAGUGGAAGAGCAGUUUGAAUGUACUUGCGUCGAGUGUAUUCUGGCAGGUAAACAAUUUUAUGUGUGUUCAGUAUACAGUGCUUUCAUUUCAAAACGAUCCACCCUUAAUAACUUUCUUAAAAAAAAAAAAAAAAAACACGUCAAAUUAGAUAUACAGGGGGACGUUUAAUUAUGAAUUUACUGAAGUUCUGUCAUCACCUCCAGCUAACCUCACUUUAAUAUGUCAAAUGGGAACCCCCAUCGUGUGAUACAUCAUAGUAAGCAGCGUAAAAUUCUCUAUUCAACGGUACCAAAAAAAAUUAAAUCGGUAAAUGCGUAAGCAAAUAGUUAGCGAAAAUGUCUAGAAAUAAUGAAUUAAUGCAUGAAUGAAUGAAAUAAUGAAUGAAGAAAGUUAUUAAGGGUGGAUCGUUUUGAAAUGAAAGCACUGUAUAGACCUCCAAAAGAAGAUGUAAAAAUAUUUAAAAAAAAAUAGAAGAGUUACUUUUUUGUUAUACAGCCAGUCAAAGGAAGGUAUUUAUAGCAGGUGACUUUAAUAUUGAACUUUUGAAACCUAAUAGAGAUAAACAAGAAGUCUUCUCAAUCAUGAACUCAUUUAAUUUCUAUCCAACAAUUACAGAAAAAACUAGGUUAAAUAGUUGCAUCGAUAAUAUAUUUACCAAUAUUGAUAUUGUUUGUGUUCUAGGCAUGACUUUGCAAACUCAUAUUUCAGAUCAUAAAGGGCAAAAAACAAUUUUCUUAACCAAAUACCAGUAUACAUUCCCAAAACAAUAUAAACGAUUUUUGUUUGAAGCAAGUUAACUAUUCGAAUAUGCCAAACUCCUUUUUAUAAAAUACAAUAUUUAUUUCGUACAAACUUAGCGCAGCUACAAUUUCAACUGACUAACUAAAAAUUACAAAUGGUGGAUAUUUAUAUGAGUAAAAAAACAAGUUAAGCAUAAGCAAUGAUCAGCAUUCUCCAUAAGGGACUGUGACAUAACUAGCAAACAAAACUUUUUUUAUUCAACAGUUAAAAGAAGAAAACUGGGCUGACGUUUUUGGUAAGGAAGAUUGUGAUGUAAAUAGCCAAUGGAGAGCUUUUAUGAAUAUAUUUGUACCAAUUUUUAAUCAAAGUUUUCCAAAGAAACGAAUAUGUAAGAAAAAUAAUAAAGAAGAUCUCUAUAAAUAUAAUGAGGAAGUUAGGGAAGUGAAGGCUAGAUUAGAUACUCUUUUUAUAUUAAAGCAACGUUUUCCUAUGUAUGCAGAUAGAUACAAAAUUGUAAAAAAAGAGUAUGAUGAUAUGUUGAUAAAAUGUAAAUAUAAAAAAUAUCAAAAUAAGAUAAAGACAUCAGAUAAUAUAAAUAAAUGUAUGUGGACUAUAUACAAAGAAGUUUCUGGGAAAGUCAUAAAUCAAAAACAGUCUGUCACUGGGCAAGCUGAUCAAGCUGCCAAUGAUUACAACAACAAUGAAACAACAUGGCAAACGAAUAUAGCAGCCAACCCUAGAGGCUUCUUGUUAAAGCCCAAGUGAACUUUUAAGUAUUCUUAAAAAAGUAAAAAAUAAAUUAAGCUGCGGAAAUGAUGAUAUACCAGCGAGUAUUGUCAAGGUUUGCAUUCCAACCAUAUCUGAAGUUUUUUGCCACAUUUUGAACAAUUCAUUAAAGCAUGGAAUUUUCCCAGAUCAAUUAAAAAGUCCACUCAUUAAGCCAAUCUACAAAAAAAGGGCGAUCCUAAUGAAUUUGACAACUUACUUCCAAGUUUUUCAAACCUGUUUGAGUUGACAGUUUGCAAUCAGCUUCUCAGUUUUCUAAAAGAGUGCAAUAUUUUAUCUGACAAUCAACAUGGAUACCUUGAGGGUAGAUCUACACAAACUGCCAUAUUUCAGUUCACUUGUGCAGUUUUGAGAAAUUUGGAGGAAGGAAAGCUUUCAUUGGGAAAAAAGGAGGUUUCGGAAGAAAGGUUUCAUAUUUUUAGACAUAAGGCAUAUGAUUGUUUAGAUAGAAAUUUUAGCAUGAUUUUUAGAAGAGUGCAACAGGUAGUGGUAGAAAGCAGCGGAAAUUCAGGCUAAUGAAAUAGGUAAACCACAAGGGAGUAUUUUGGGGCCUUUUUUGUUCAUUGUCUUUAUAAAAGACUUGCCUUUUGAAAUUAUUAAUAAUAGUCAUACAGUAUGCAAUACCCUAACAAUAUUUGCAGAUGACACAAAUUUAUUAGUGGCGUCUUCAAACAUCUCUGAGCUAUGCCUGAAUGGAGAUCUUCUGUUUAAAAAAACCAAAGAUUGGUUUAAUAAAAAUAAGCUUAUAUUGAAUGAACAAAAAACGCACGUUGUAAUUUUUAAAACAAAACAAGGAAGUAAGCCCAAAAGAAGUAAACUUCAACAAUAUUGAGGUUAAAGUGCAGGCAUCAACUAAAUUUCUGGGUGUAUAUAUUGAUGAAUUCUUAGACUUUUCAGAUCACAUUGAAUAUUUACAAAUUAAGCUGAAUAGAGUUUGUUUUUGUUUCCGUACAGUUCUAAAAUAUCUAAAUGAAUGGGCUAGAAGAGCCUUGUAUUUUGCCAACUUUGAGUCUUCAGCUAGGUAUGGCAUUAUUUUCUGGGCGGCCAACUCUAAGAUUCAAAGUGUAUUUGUCAUUCAAAAAAGGGUAAUUAGAAUAAUGUUUGGGAUGCAAUACUUGGAAUCAUAUAGAGGUAUUUUUAGAUUUAAGAGAAUACUAACUGUAUAUGCAUUGUAUAUAUUUGAAGCAGUGAUGUUUUUAUUUAGGAAUAGAGAUAAGUUUCCUACUUCUGUUGAUCAUAGGUUUAAUACUCGCACAUGUAAUAUUAACUACCCUAUACAUAGGCUUUCAUUGUUUGAAAAGAGUCCCUACUAUAUGUGCAUAAAGUUAUUUAAUAAACUUCCGCAUGAAAUAAAAACUAUAGGAAAUCAAAACAGAUUUAAACAAAAGGUGAAAAACUUACUACUUACUUUAGAACCGUAUAGUCUGAAUGAUUACUUAAGUAUGUAAAGUUAUAUAUAGUUAUCUCAGGGAGACGUUUAUAUUUCUAAAUAAUCCUUUUUUUGUGAGGUCAUUUCAUUUUAUUGAAGUUUUCAUGUAUAAUGUGACUUUGUAAUAUGAAAUAAAGAAAUAUUAUUAUUAUUAUUAUUAUUAUUAUUAUUAUUAUUAUUAUUAUUAUUUCUCACCA